GCGAGAGUAGCUAAGCCAGGUCAACGGCGCUGCAUUUAGGGUGCAGUCAUCAGGUGUUCAAGGGUUCGAAUCCCUUCUCUCGCA
RNAcentral lists this transfer RNA (84 nucleotides) under Methanocorpusculum sp. RNAcentral describes it as "tRNA-Leu". It matches the Rfam family "tRNA". From Rfam's summary of the family: Transfer RNA (tRNA) molecules are approximately 80 nucleotides in length. Lineage: Archaea; Methanobacteriati; Methanobacteriota; Methanomicrobia; Methanomicrobiales; Methanocorpusculaceae. The record is from RNAcentral.